UGAGAGUACGGGAUCGCCUGACCGAAACCCUCGCGAUUGAGAUCGAGCGAAGCGGAGGCGCAGGCGGGAGAGAUGCCGAAUAGGGAGCUAUUUGCCCGACCCAACGUCUCGUCGUCGGCGUCCGCCGAAGGGAACCGCAUGGCCUUCCUCAACUGGUCCGGUGGAGCUCGCUUCGAUCAGCACCUCGACGCCGAGCAUGCAGGUGCAAGAUCAGAAAGCAUUUCUUCCUCUGAGAAGUUGCCAUGAUGCAUGUAUCUGUGAUCACUUCUGUUCUCGUGCAGAUCAAUAUUGGAGGAUACACUAAAAUGAGACAGUCAACUGGAAUUAUCGAGGUGACUCUUCAGGAAACCCCAAGAAAACUCAAAAUCGCUUCAUAUCACAGUAAGAUGUGCCAGGAAGGCUGCUGGGAAUGAAUUCUCAUUGUGAACUACAUUCUUCAUCAGAGGAACUGGAUCUUAACAGAUAUCUAACUCGCUUAGAACUAAGUCUACUCCUUUUACCAAGGGAAAUCAAUCAUGUACAGAACCAGCUUGACGGGACUUCAUGUUGAGCCGACAAUUCCACAUUGGCAAAAUUCAUCGGUCCUUGCAUUAUUGCAUGCAAUGCUCGUCGGCAGGACUUCAUUAUAAGUUGAAUCUGUAGGUUAGCAAAUUAAUGGACAUGACAUUUUUUGAAGUCUGAAAAAUAUCUUAGACUGUGUCCCAUUGUGGUGGGUGAGAUGGGCCUGUCUCAAUCAAUCAUUUGUGACCAAGCAAUCUGCAUGCCUCCUGCUGCUUCUGCUUGUGAAUCAUCUGCUGGAGCUUGAUGGCACUUGAGAAGAAGAUACCACCAAGACCAGGAGCGGCUUGUGGCCCCUCAGCGGCUGUUUAAUAUGGGAUCUUUAAGGUGUUCUUGUUGAGUAGGUGUAUGUCUAAAGGAUAAAGCAGAUGAUAAUUAUUAUGUUAGAUGAUGUUUAUUAUGCUUGAUCCUGUGGGGACCUGGUUACCUCUUUUAUUAGCUUCUGUAUAUAUGAUUACUAGGUUCAUUGGAGGUAGUAAUACCCAAAGACAUGACUAGUUUAAUA
Musa acuminata AAA Group (dessert banana) is the source of this 1063-nucleotide long non-coding RNA. RefSeq lists it as uncharacterized. The transcript has 3 exons. Lineage: Eukaryota; Viridiplantae; Streptophyta; Magnoliopsida; Zingiberales; Musaceae. The record is from RefSeq and is a predicted model, not a curated record.